GGUUAAGCGACUAAGCGUACACGGUGGAUGCCCUGGCAGUCAGAGGCGAUGAAGGGCGUGCUAAUCUGCGAUAAGCGCCGGUAAGGUGAUAUGAACCGUUAUAACCGGCGAUACCCGAAUGGGGAAACCCAGUGUGACUCGUCACACUAUCAUUAACUGAAUCCAUAGGUUAAUGAGGCGAACCGGGGGAACUGAAACAUCUAAGUACCCCGAGGAAAAGAAAUCAACCGAGAUUCCCCCAGUAGCGGCGAGCGAACGGGGAGGAGCCCAGAGCCUGAAUCAGCAUAUGUGUUAGUGGAAGCGUCUGGAAAGGCGCGCGAUACAGGGUGACAGCCCCGUACACAAAAGCGCAUGUGCUGUGAGCUCGAUGAGUAGGGCGGGACACGUGGUAUCCUGUCUGAAUAUGGGGGGACCAUCCUCCAAGGCUAAAUACUCCUGACUGACCGAUAGUGAACCAGUACCGUGAGGGAAAGGCGAAAAGAACCCCGGCGAGGGGAGUGAAAAAGAACCUGAAACCGUGUACGUACAAGCAGUGGGAGCACCCUUUGGGGUGUGACUGCGUACCUUUUGUAUAAUGGGUCAGCGACUUAUAUUCUGUAGCAAGGUUAACCGAAUAGGGGAGCCGGAGGGAAACCGAGUCUUAAUUGGGCGUUAAGUUGCAGGGUAUAGACCCGAAACCCGGUGAUCUAGCCAUGGGCAGGUUGAAGGUUGGGUAACACUAACUGGAGGACCGAACCGACUAAUGUUGAAAAAUUAGCGGAUGACCUGUGGCUGGGGGUGAAAGGCCAAUCAAACCGGGAGAUAGCUGGUUCUCCCCGAAAGCUAUUUAGGUAGCGCCUCGUGAAUUCAUCUCCGGGGGUAGAGCACUGUUUCGGCUAGGGGGCCAUCCCGGCUUACCAACCCGAUGCAAACUGCGAAUACCGGAGAAUGUUAUCACGGGAGACACACGGCGGGUGCUAACGUCCGUCGUGAAGAGGGAAACAACCCAGACCGCCAGCUAAGGUCCCAAAGUCAUGGUUAAGUGGGAAACGAUGUGGGAAGGCCCAGACAGCCAGGAUGUUGGCUUAGAAGCAGCCAUCAUUUAAAGAAAGCGUAAUAGCUCACUGGUCGAGUCGGCCUGCGCGGAAGAUGUAACGGGGCUAAACCAUGCACCGAAGCUGCGGCAGCGACGCUGAUGCGUUGUUGGGUAGGGGAGCGUUCUGUAAGCCUGCGAAGGUGGCCUGUGAGGGUUGCUGGAGGUAUCAGAAGUGCGAAUGCUGACAUAAGUAACGAUAAAGCGGGUGAAAAGCCCGCUCGCCGGAAGACCAAGGGUUCCUGUCCAACGUUAAUCGGGGCAGGGUGAGUCGACCCCUAAGGCGAGGCCGAAAGGCGUAGUCGAUGGGAAACGGGUUAAUAUUCCCGUACUUGGUGUUACUGCGAAGGGGGGACGGAGAAGGCUAUGUUGGCCGGGCGACGGUUGUCCCGGUUUAAGCGUGUAGGUGUGUGUUCCAGGUAAAUCCGGUUCACUUUAACACUGAGGCGUGAUGACGAGGCACUACGGUGCUGAAGCAACAAAUGCCCUGCUUCCAGGAAAAGCCUCUAAGCAUCAGGUAACAUCAAAUCGUACCCCAAACCGACACAGGUGGUCAGGUAGAGAAUACCAAGGCGCUUGAGAGAACUCGGGUGAAGGAACUAGGCAAAAUGGUGCCGUAACUUCGGGAGAAGGCACGCUGACACGUAGGUGAAGUGAUUUACUCAUGGAGCUGAAGUCAGUCGAAGAUACCAGCUGGCUGCAACUGUUUAUUAAAAACACAGCACUGUGCAAACACGAAAGUGGACGUAUACGGUGUGACGCCUGCCCGGUGCCGGAAGGUUAAUUGAUGGGGUCAGCGCAAGCGAAGCUCCUGAUCGAAGCCCCGGUAAACGGCGGCCGUAACUAUAACGGUCCUAAGGUAGCGAAAUUCCUUGUCGGGUAAGUUCCGACCUGCACGAAUGGCGUAAUGAUGGCCAGGCUGUCUCCACCCGAGACUCAGUGAAAUUGAACUCGCUGUGAAGAUGCAGUGUACCCGCGGCAAGACGGAAAGACCCCGUGAACCUUUACUAUAGCUUGACACUGAACAUUGAGCCUUGAUGUGUAGGAUAGGUGGGAGGCUUUGAAGUGUGGACGCCAGUCUGCAUGGAGCCGGCCUUGAAAUACCACCCUUUAAUGUUUGAUGUUCUAACGUGGACCCGUGAUCCGGGUUGCGGACAGUGUCUGGUGGGUAGUUUGACUGGGGCGGUCUCCUCCUAAAGAGUAACGGAGGAGCACGAAGGUUGGCUAAUCCUGGUCGGACAUCAGGAGGUUAGUGCAAUGGCAUAAGCCAGCUUGACUGCGAGCGUGACGGCGCGAGCAGGUGCGAAAGCAGGUCAUAGUGAUCCGGUGGUUCUGAAUGGAAGGGCCAUCGCUCAACGGAUAAAAGGUACUCCGGGGAUAACAGGCUGAUACCGCCCAAGAGUUCAUAUCGACGGCGGUGUUUGGCACCUCGAUGUCGGCUCAUCACAUCCUGGGGCUGAAGUAGGUCCCAAGGGUAUGGCUGUUCGCCAUUUAAAGUGGUACGCGAGCUGGGUUUAGAACGUCGUGAGACAGUUCGGUCCCUAUCUGCCGUGGGCGCUGGAGAACUGAGGGGGGCUGCUCCUAGUACGAGAGGACCGGAGUGGACGCAUCACUGGUGUUCGGGUUGUCAUGCCAAUGGCACUGCCCGGUAGCUAAAUGCGGAAGAGAUAAGUGCUGAAAGCAUCUAAGCACGAAACUUGCCCCGAGAUGAGUUCUCCCUGAGACUUAGAGUCUCCUGAAGGAACGUUGAAGACGACGACGUUGAUAGGCCGGGUGUGUAAGCGCAGCGAUGCGUUGAGCUAACCGGUACUAAUGAACCGUGAGGCUUAACCUU
This 2906-nucleotide ribosomal RNA is filed under the name Salmonella enterica. RNAcentral's name for it is "23S ribosomal RNA". It matches the Rfam family "Bacterial large subunit ribosomal RNA". The record is from RNAcentral. Lineage: Bacteria; Pseudomonadati; Pseudomonadota; Gammaproteobacteria; Enterobacterales; Enterobacteriaceae. RNAcentral also lists the same sequence under 5 other names.